Molecule: long non-coding RNA, 2661 nt
Filed under: Ananas comosus (pineapple)
Lineage: Eukaryota; Viridiplantae; Streptophyta; Magnoliopsida; Poales; Bromeliaceae
Description: long non-coding RNA (ACOM_LNC019306)
Source: RNAcentral
CGCAGCCGGGGAUAUCGCCGUCGCUGAAGAACUUCCUGCUGAGCAUCGUGGCCGGCGGCGUCGUGCUCGGCGUGCUGGUGGGCGCCGUCGUCGCCGUCGCCAACUUCGACCCCGUCAAGCGGACCUAGACCUCCUGAUCUCAUGCACCGACUCGUCAUCACCACCACCACCACCACUCCGCUCCCCCUCUCCUCUCUCCCCCUCCUCUCAAAUUGUUCGGAUUCGAUGUGUAAUUUGUGUAAGCUAGUUUGGACCCUUUUGUAAAAUGCUGUUUCAUUGUUUCAUCUUCACGCGCCUCCUUGCACUCACCACAACAAAUAAAAUAACUAAAAUAAAAUAAAAUAAAAUAAAGAAGUUAAUUUUUUAUAUAAGUCCCUGCAAAUAUAGUUAACGACAAAUUUAUUUCUAUAAAGUUCAACUUUCAUAUAUUUUUCUAACAAAAAUUCUAAUGUUUUCAAUACAUUUCUGCCGCUAGAAUCCAUUUGAAAAUUUUAGUUAAUCAUAGGUUAAAUACUUAAUUCUAGUUUUUUUUUUAUAUUUUUAUCUUUUAAUAUUAUACUGUUAUGACUUUUGGAGGGAUAUAUUUGUGAUGACAAAAUUAAAAAUAUAAAUAGUUCUCUGACGAUUAUCUAAAGGUAACAAACCAUAGGAAUAUAUUUGAAAAUAUCAUGACAGUUGAACCAAUUUUGCAGGAACCAAUUUUGCAGGAACAACAUAUGAAAGUUGAACUUUGUAGAGAUAUAUUUGUCAUUCAUUAUAUUUAUAGUGACCUGUAUGAAAUUAAUCCAAAAAAAUUAUUGCACAAAAUUUUUAAUUUUAAUUUAUUCGGCGAAUUAUUAAUCCUAUUCUAAGACCCAAAAUUGGUUUGCUAAUCUCUAGGGUGAAAAAUAUUUUAUUUUCCCGGAUAAUAUUUUUUUAAAAAAAUAAAAUUACUAAAAGCCCAAAAGAAAAUUAUUUUAUUUUUUAAGUUAAUAUAUGUAUAUACUUUUUUUUAUGUAAGAGUUAUUAUUGUUGAGUUAGGGGGUCUACAAAAAUAUAUUUUUUUGAAUCCACUAAUAGUCGAAAGAAAAAAAAAUUCUUUAAAUUGUCUUGACAUGCGGGAUCUAAUACCUACAUGGUGAUGGCAAUAGAUUCUGACGUCUUAAAUGAAUAUUUUAAGGAAUCUUUUUGCACAAUUUUUGUUUUUUUUUUUUUUUUGUUUUUUGCCUGAAAGUUGGCCUGCAUAAGGAACCAACUUACUAACAGUAGUAACUCACAGUCACAGUAAUAACUUUUUAAUGAGAACCAGUCCACUAUUCCAUUAGAUAAAGUAAAAUUCAUCUGACGAAUCAGCCUUAAUACCAAAUGUAAAUAAUUUAACACGCGGCACAAAAUACUUACUCUUCCACUCCCGGCAUUUGUUACUAUAGCUCUUGAUCCUUAUAUUUUAAUUCUGACUAUUAGGGUGCCACAGCGUGGCUUUUGAAAUAGCUUUUAGUUGAAUAUUUCAUUAAAUAUACUGUAAUGCGUAAAUAUUUCGCUUAUUUUCGUACAGAAACUAUAAGUUUGUUUAAAAGGAGAGAAUAGGUUGGGUUAUGAUUUUUGCAUUUCCAAAAAAAAAAAAAAAAAAAAAAAUUGAGAGAAAUAUAUCUCUAUGGUCUUGUUUGGAUAUAUGUAUAUUUUAUUUAAUAUACUUCUUCACCUUAUUCAAAAGAGUAUAUAUAGUAUUUAAUAAAGAAGGCGUAUAGACAUCUUGAAUGGAUAUUAUAUUCUGCAUUCAAGAUAUUUUUUUGGAAUCAGAUAAAUCAUAUAACGCGAAUAUUUUUAAGUAGUAAAAAUCAAACUCCUAAGUUUUAAUUAUAUAAGAAUAGUUUCCGACAAAAUAGCUUAUUAUUGCAUAUAUACAUUUUCACUUCGACCCCUCGUGGGCCAAUAAUGUUUUAGAGGGGAUCUCAGCAUUAACGUGUGAAACACACAAGCAUCCCUUAAGGUACUUCUCAUUUCUAUCAAAAAUUUUUCUUUACAUAAUAAAAAAAAACUUCAAAGAUCAUUCCCGUAGUUUCACAUUUUCUUACUUUAACAUCAUAUGAUUUAAAGUGUAUCAAUUUAGUGCCAUGUGGUUUUAUUUUUAUAUUUUUAUUAUCGAUUUCACUAAUUUUUUUUGUUAAAUAAAGUAAAUAUUCGAUAAAUCUAGAUGGAGUAUCUGAAAUUUUUUGUACAUAAUUUAACAAAAUAUUAACGAAAAAAAUGACGAAAAGAUAAAAAUGAAACCAGUAGAUACUAACUCGAUACACUUUAAACCAUAGGGUACUAAAGUGAAAAAGUACGAAACCACAGUAAUGGUAUUUGAAGUUUACCCNAGGGAGUGGGCGGCGGGGAUGGUGGCGGCGGCGGCGGCGGCGGCGCUGGUGAUACCGGAGGUGGCGGAGGCGGCGCAGCCGGGGAUAUCGCCGUCGCUGAAGAACUUCCUGCUGAGCAUCGUGGCCGGCGGCGUCGUGCUCGGCGUGCUGGUCGGCGCCGUCAUCGCCGUCGCCAACUUCGACCCCGUCAAGCGGACCUAGACCUCCUGAUCUCAUGCACCGACUCGUCAUCACCACCACCACCACUCCGCUCCCCCUCUCCUCUCUCCUCCUCCUCCUCUCAAAUUGUUCGGAUUCGAUGUGUAAUUUGUGUAAGCUAUUU